ACGUAGGGUGCAAGCGUUAAUCGGAAUUACUGGGCGUAAAGCGUGCGCAGGCGGUUUUGUAAGACUGUCGUGAAAUCCCCGGGCUCAACCUGGGAAUGGCGAUGGUGACUGCAAGGCUAGAGUUUGGCAGAGGGGGGUAGAAUUCCACGUGUAGCAGUGAAAUGCGUAGAUAUGUGGAGGAACACCGAUGGCGAAGGCAGCCCCCUGGGUCAAAACUGACGCUCAUGCACGAAAGCGUGGGGAGCAAACAGG
Molecule: ribosomal RNA, 252 nt
Filed under: uncultured bacterium
Lineage: Bacteria
Description: partial 16S ribosomal RNA
Rfam family: Bacterial small subunit ribosomal RNA
Source: RNAcentral